Molecule: ribosomal RNA, 497 nt
Filed under: uncultured bacterium
Lineage: Bacteria
Description: partial 16S ribosomal RNA
Rfam family: Bacterial small subunit ribosomal RNA
Source: RNAcentral
GACGAACGCUGGCGGCGUGCCUAAUACAUGCAAGUUGAGCGCUGAAGGUUGGUACUUGUACCAACUGGAUGAGCAGCGAACGGGUGAGUAACGCGUGGGGAAUCUGCCUUUGAGCGGGGGACAACAUUUGGAAACGAAUGCUAAUACCGCAUAAAAACUUUAAACACAAGUUUUAAGUUUGAAAGAUGCAAUUACAUCACUCAAAGAUGAUCCCGCGUUGUAUUAGCUAGUUGGUGAGGUAAAGGCUCACCAAGGCGAUGAUACAUAGCCGACCUGAGAGGGUGAUCGGCCACAUUGGGACUGAGACACGGCCCAAACUCCUACGGGAGGCAGCAGUAGGGAAUCUUCGGCAAUGGACGAAAGUCUGACCGAGCAACGCCGCGUGAGGGAAGAAGGUUGUCGGAUCGUAAAACUCUGUUGGUAGAGAAGAACGUUGGUGAGAGUGGAAAGCUCAUCAAGUGACGGUAACUACCCAGAAGGGGACGGCUAACUACGUG